AUAAAAUCCAAUAGUAUCCCAUCACCUUUUCCCAAUCACUGGACGACACACAGUAUCAGGAGUAGAACUGAAGUUUAAUGGCAACAUUCCUGCUUUUAUGAGAUUCUCCCAUGCAAGAGAGGGACUCAUCAUAAUUAGUACAGUAACCAAUCCCAUAGAUGUUACCUCCCACACAUCUCCUCCCCUUAGAUUAACAGUUAACAUAAUUAUACAGUGC
Pelobates cultripes (western spadefoot toad) is the source of this 217-nucleotide non-coding RNA. Lineage: Eukaryota; Metazoa; Chordata; Amphibia; Anura; Pelobatidae. The record is from the annotation of a GenBank genome assembly.